Molecule: ribosomal RNA, 253 nt
Filed under: uncultured bacterium
Lineage: Bacteria
Description: partial 16S ribosomal RNA
Rfam family: Bacterial small subunit ribosomal RNA
Source: RNAcentral
UACGUAGGGGGCGAGCGUUGUCCGGAAUUAUUGGGCGUAAAGAGCGUGUAGGCGGUUCGGUAAGUCUGCUGUGAAAUCCUGGGGCUCAACCCCGGGCGUGCAGCGGAUACUGCCGGGCUAGAGGGUGGUAGAGGCGAGUGGAAUUCCGAGUGUAGCGGUGAAAUGCGCAGAUAUCAGGAGGAACACCGAUGGCGAAGGCAGGUCUCUGGGCAUUAACUGACGCUGAGGAGCGAAAGCAUGGGGAGCGAACAGG